UACAGAGGGUGCAAGCGUUAAUCGGAGUUACUGGGCGUAAAGGGCGCGUAGGCGGAUACGUAAGUGAGUUGUGAAACCCCUGGGCUUAACCUAGGACUGGCAACUUAUACUGUGUAUCUGGAGUACUGUAGAGGGUAGUGGAAUUUCCGGUGUAGCGGUGAAAUGCGUAGAGAUCGGAAGGAACACCCGUGGCGAAGGCGGCUACCUGGACAGAUACUGACGCUGAGGCGCGAGAGCGUGGGGAGCAAAC
Molecule: ribosomal RNA, 250 nt
Filed under: uncultured bacterium
Lineage: Bacteria
Description: partial 16S ribosomal RNA
Rfam family: Bacterial small subunit ribosomal RNA
Source: RNAcentral